AGAGUUUGAUCCUGGCUCAGGACGAACGCUGGCGGCGUGCUUAACACAUGCAAGUCGAGCGAUGAAGUUUCUUCGGAAAUGGAUUAGCGGCGAACGGGUGAGGAACACGUGAAGAAUCUGCCCUCCACUUUGGGAUAACACCGGGAAACCGGUGCUAAUACCGAAUAUUGAAACAUAAGUGGCAUCACUGAGUUUUGAAAGAAUUUCGGUGGAGGAUGACUUCGCGGCCUAUCAGCUAGUUGGUGAGGUAAUGGCUCACCAAGGCAACGACGGGUAGCCGGCCUGAGAGGGCGACCGGCCACACUGGGACUGAGACACGGCCCAGACUCCUACGGGAGGCAGCAGUGGGGAAUAUUGGGCAAUGGAGGAAACUCUGACCCAGCGACGCCGCGUGCGGGAUGAAGGCCUUCGGGUUGUAAACCGCUUUCAGUAGGGAAGAAGCGAAAGUGACGGUACCUACAAAAGAAGCACCGGCUAACUAUGUGCCAGCAGCCGCGGUAAUACAUAGGGUGCAAGCGUUGUCCGGAAUUAUUGGGCGUAAAGAGCUCGUAGGUCGUUUGUUACGUCGGAUGUGAAAACCUGAGGCUCAACCUCAGGCCUGCAUUCGAUACGGGCAAACUAGAGUUUGGUAGGGGAGACUGGAAUUCCUGGUGUAGCGGUGGAAUGCGCAGAUAUCAGGAGGAACACCAAUGGCGAAGGCAGGUCUCUGGGCCAAUACUGACACUGAGGAGCGAAAGUCUGGGGAGCGAACAGGAUUAGAUACCCUGGUAGUCCAGACCGUAAACGGUGGGCACUAGUUGUGGGAACCUUCCA
RNAcentral lists this ribosomal RNA (813 nucleotides) under uncultured bacterium. RNAcentral's name for it is "bacterial SSU rRNA". It matches the Rfam family "Bacterial small subunit ribosomal RNA", at positions 8 to 835 of the family's 1533-position model. The record is from RNAcentral.